GCCUGGGUGGCUCAGUCAGUUGAGCGUCCAACUUCGGUUCAGGUCAUGAUCUCGAGGUCCGUGGGUUCAAGCCCCACAUUAGGCU
This 85-nucleotide transfer RNA is filed under the name Felis catus (domestic cat). It matches the Rfam family "tRNA". Rfam says of the family: Transfer RNA (tRNA) molecules are approximately 80 nucleotides in length. The record is from Rfam by way of RNAcentral. Lineage: Eukaryota; Metazoa; Chordata; Mammalia; Carnivora; Felidae.